This 73-nucleotide transfer RNA is filed under the name Apaloderma vittatum (bar-tailed trogon). It matches the Rfam family "tRNA". From Rfam's summary of the family: Transfer RNA (tRNA) molecules are approximately 80 nucleotides in length. Their secondary structure includes four short double-helical elements and three loops (D, anti-codon, and T loops). Lineage: Eukaryota; Metazoa; Chordata; Aves; Trogoniformes; Trogonidae. The record is from Rfam by way of RNAcentral.
GGCCGGUUAGCUCAGUCAGUUAGAGCGUGGUGCUGAUAAUACCAAGGUUGCGGGUUUGAUCCCCACUCGGUCC